CCCUUAGAUGUUCUGGGCCGCACGCGCGCUACACUGAUGCAUUCAACGAGUCUAAAACCUGCUCUGAUAGGGGUGGGUAAUCUUUUGAAUGUGCAUCGUGAUUGGGAUAGAUGAUUGAAAUUUUUCAUCUUCAACGAGGAAUUCCUAGUAAACGCAAGUCAUCAGCUUGCAUUGAUUACGUCCCUGCCCUUUGUACACACCGCCCGUCGCUCCUACCGAUUGAAUGAUCCGAUGAAUAUCAUGGAUUGAGGAUGCAAGUAGGUUCACCUAUCUUCAUCUUCGAGAAGUGAAGUAAAUCUUAUCAUUUAGAGGAAGGAGAAGUCGUAACA
RNAcentral lists this ribosomal RNA (329 nucleotides) under uncultured eukaryote. RNAcentral describes it as "partial 18S ribosomal RNA". It matches the Rfam family "Eukaryotic small subunit ribosomal RNA", at positions 1470 to 1796 of the family's 1831-position model. The record is from RNAcentral.